RNAcentral lists this ribosomal RNA (253 nucleotides) under uncultured bacterium. RNAcentral describes it as "partial 16S ribosomal RNA". It matches the Rfam family "Bacterial small subunit ribosomal RNA", at positions 524 to 776 of the family's 1533-position model. The record is from RNAcentral.
UACGUAGGGGGCAAGCGUUGUCCGGAAUCAUUGGGCGUAAAGCGCACGUAGGCGGCUUUGCAAGUUAGAGGUGAAAGCCCGGGGCUCAACUCCGGAAUUGCCUUUAAAACUGCAUCGCUAGAAUUGUGGAGAGGUAAGUGGAAUUCCUGGUGUAGCGGUGAAAUGCGCAGAUAUCAGGAAGAACACCCGUGGCGAAGGCGGCUCUCUGGUACGUGACUGACGCUGAGACGCGAAAGCGUGGGGAGCAAACAGG